GUCUCAGCGGCACAAUGGGUCAGUGUGUCUGGCUAUUAACCAGAAGGUUGAUGGUUCAAGCUCAACCAGGGACA
Non-coding RNA from Podarcis lilfordi (Lilford's wall lizard), 74 nucleotides. NCBI's taxonomy places the organism in Eukaryota, Metazoa, Chordata, Lepidosauria, Squamata, Lacertidae. The record is from the annotation of a GenBank genome assembly.